CUUCAGCGAGCCCAACCACAGCGGACGCUCUGGGGCACGGUCCUUGCCGUAGGUCGCCAGCAACGCCUGCGCCUC
Molecule: antisense RNA, 75 nt
Filed under: Salinispora arenicola
Lineage: Bacteria; Bacillati; Actinomycetota; Actinomycetes; Micromonosporales; Micromonosporaceae
Also listed under: 1 other name
Description: ASpks TB sRNA
Rfam family: ASpks TB sRNA
Source: RNAcentral